AACGAACGCUGGCGGCAUGCCUAACACAUGCAAGUCGAACGAGACCUUCGGGUCUAGUGGCGCACGGGUGCGUAACGCGUGGGAACCUGCCCUUAGGUUCGGAAUAACUCCCCGAAAGGGGUGCUAAUACCGGAUAAUGUCUUCGGACCAAAGAUUUAUCGCCUUUGGAUGGGCCCGCGUUGGAUUAGCUAGUUGGUAGGGUAAAAGCCUACCAAGGCGACGAGCGAUAGCUGGUCUGAGAGGAUGAUCAGCCACACUGGGACUGAGACACGGCCCAGACUCGUACGAGAGGCAGCAGGGGGGAAUUGUGCACAAUGGGCGCAAGCCUGAGCGAGCAAUGCCGCGUGGAGGAAGAAGGCUUUCGGGUUGUAAACUGAUGCUGUACGGAAGGAAACGGCUCUGGGUAAUACCCGGGGCUAAUGACGGGACCGAAAGAACAAGCACCGGCUAACUACGUG
This 458-nucleotide ribosomal RNA is filed under the name uncultured bacterium. RNAcentral's name for it is "partial 16S ribosomal RNA". It matches the Rfam family "Bacterial small subunit ribosomal RNA", at positions 29 to 507 of the family's 1533-position model. The record is from RNAcentral.